AAGAAAAGAGAAGACAGAAGAGAAAGGGAGAAACGGAAAGAAACAAAGAAGAGGAAAGAGAGAAGAGAGAAGAGGAAAGAGAAGAGGAAAGAGAGAAGAGGAAAAAGACAAGAGGAAAGAGAAAAGAAAGAGAGUCAGGCAGAGAAGAGGAAGAGAAGGAAGAAAGAGGGUGAGUGAGCAGAGAGAAAAUUCAGUGAGCCACACAUAUUGUAAACACUAUUGUAGCCAUAUUAUUUUAUAUAGUGAAAAGUUACUGCUGCUGCUCUCCGAGGACGUAGGCAUAGCCGAACCUCGUUAAAUGCUGUGUCUCAUCUACUUUACGUGCAGCUAAAUAUUCGUACAUAUUCCAGGUCAUUUUAUAACACGUUAUCAGCACGAUAGUCUCUCCUUUUAUUUCUGAAAUCUUUCAACUCAACACUAUGUGGUUACUUCUUUGUCUCCUCUCUGUCAUAUGUCUACUCUCACUUUACUACUACAAUGACAUGCAAACUUUCUUUUUUGUGUUCUCACAAUUUCUAUGUUGUUUAAUCCAUGCUUGUUUAAUUUACUUCUUUGUAACGUAAUUUGUAAUUUCUAUGUUGUUUAAUCUGUCCUGUUAUUUUAUGGUGGUGUAAUUUUUACCCAUCGCGUUGUAACACAAAUUAUUGUAAUAAAAUGAUGGUGUGAUCUUAAAACCCAUCUAUUAUAUCUUGAAUAGUGGCGCAGUUAUAUUGCCCACACUAUAUAAUAUAUUAUGCACUUCAUAUAUAUUAGGUGGAGGUUUUUAUCCCCACAUUUAUUUUAUUUAUGGUAUGGUGCAGGUUUAUUACUCAUACGGCAAUAUUUAAAGGGUGGUGCGGGUUUAUCGUCCACGCCUUUGCUUUUAUGUAUAGAGCAGAAUUAGUGCCCAUACAAGCACGUUCGCAAAUUAUUACUUUACUGUACAUUAUUUACUGUAUGGUGUAGAUUUAUUACCCAUACAACAGUAUCUAUUUAAAAAGGGUGGUGCGGGUUUAUCGUCCACGCCUUUACUUUUAUUUAAAUGUAUGGAGCAGAAUUAGUGCCCAUAUAAGCACGUUUACUUUACCGCACAUUUAAUUUAUUUAAGGUAUGGUGCGGGAUUAACGUCCAUACAGCAAGCUAUUUAAUUUAUGAAUUUACUUUACCGCACAUUUAAUUUUAUUUAAGGUAUGGUGCGGGAUUAACGUCCAUACAGCAAGCAAUUUAAUUUAUGAAUUUAUUUUACCGCACAUUUACAUUUAUUUAAAGUAUGGUGCGGGUUUAUCGUCCAUACCAGUAAUUUAUUUAUCAGCAAUUUAUUUUAUGGAUUAAUUGUGCUGUAUGAUGAGUUUUUACAGUAUGCAGAUCAGGACCAAAAGUUCCUUGAUCCUCAUCAUACAAUUACAUCAGGACUUGAAGAUCCUUGAUGAUGAUAUUAAUAUGAGAGCUGACAGUCUCUCCGGUACUAUAUUUAUAAACAUGUGAUCGGACUUAAGGGUCCUUGAUCCCUGACAUGUAAAUAAGGACCUAGAGUUCCUUAAUGAUGUAACAGUACCGUAUUGGUUCAUAGUGCCGUACACAUGGAUGAUAACUGUACUGGCAGAUGUACUGUACACAUGAAUAGAUACGUAUUCAUGACUUGAUGAAUAGUACUAUUCACAUGAAUAGUGACGUAUGCAUAAAUAUUAACCAUUUUGGGUAAACCGUCACUAUAUACAAAAGGUAACCUGCAGUUCCUUAAACUCAUGGAUGAGCAAUUAAAUGAGAUGCCAGAAGUUCCUCAAAAUAUGGACAAUUAUGUAAGGGCUUGAAGUCCCGAAAUAUGUACAGAAAAUUGUAAAAAUGUCCAUACCAUGAGAAUAUGUGAUUUUGGCCCGAAGUUCAAAAUCUAACAGUAUUGAGAACCUAAAAUUCCAACAGUUAAAUGGACAACCCUUGAGGUAUUAUUGCAAAUUGUGGUAUGCCACAUAUUUCUUUGGCAUAAGAGAAUGAUGAAUUUAAUAAAGUUCGAUUCUGUUAUAAUCGACACCUCAAGGAAGAAAUAUAUUUUGUGAAUUCCGGUUGUUAAGAAUACACCGCGAAAUGGAUAAUAUCAAUAUAAACCUCAAAUAAUGAAUUGAGGCUCCCCACAUAUUUUGUUAUAUCUGGGCCGGAAGCCCCUGGAUCCAAAUAUAUGAGAGAUCCUGAACUUGAAGUUGUGGGUAUAUAGUAGUUAAUGCUCUUCACUACUAUAUUGCGAUAUUAUCGUAUUUCAUGUCUAUUUGAAAAGGGCAAAUAAAUUCUGAGUUUGUGUUUAGCUCAGGCCAAAAGUUCCAGGCUACCAUGCGAUAAAAUAUGAAAUUUGGGAGAGACAAUGUGGUUAUUUGAACCUAUAAGGCACAAGGUUCCAAACCGUCAUUUUGAAAAGACGUAAAAACCACAGGUGUAAGUUUAAGAAUGUGCGCAAUUAUUAUAAUAGGAAAGGAGCAUAUAACAGAUAGAUUUUUUCCACCUGCAAUGAAGGUGCAGGCCCUGUAAAAUCUAUAAAAAUUACAUUAUGUUCUGGAAGCCUCUGAAGGAAGAGGACGGCGCCUCUUAAGCUUAGCCAUGAGCUUCUCGUGGUCUCCCAAAAUUCUUUCAUUGGAGACCUGCAGCAUGUCUAGCCUUCUCAGUGUAUCAACGGAGUACGAACUCACCAGUUUCAACAAGGAAUUAUUCUCUCCUUUAAGUUUCUCAACCUCCUGUUGAGACUCAUGAAGCAUUCUUUGAAGAGACGAAUUUUCAGUUGUUAGCCUCUCAACCUCGUUUGCUCUGGCACGCAAACGAUCAGCCAUGUUAGAAACAGAAGCAGCACUCUGAAUGCUAAAAGCCAUUGAGUCAUCAAUAGCCUCUUCCUCAGAUCUCCCUGUCAACAACAUUUCAUCCAUUGGAAUAAUGAAAUUCCUAGCUACUAUGACAGCAGUAGCAUCAUUCAUCAUCACAGAAUCAUUAACUGUGAGAUGACGAUUUUGGGAUACAAAGGAUGGACGCCAAACUUGGGCAUCAUUGGUAGUUAUGGGAGCAUCAUUUAAAUUGAAAUAAUUUGGGCAGGAAGAAGAGGAAGCCAUUUUAAGAAGGUUUUGAAGAAAGUCUUACAAAAACUAAAGUUUCAGAAAAUGAAGGAAGUUGAGUUGAAACGCAGUUGCUCCAAUCAAGUUUUGCAAAGGCAAUAUCUAUAGACGAAAAUGUGGCAACAUUUUCAGGAUCCCAAUAUCUUCUCGAAUCCCCAUAUUAUCUUUUUCUUUCCCAGAGUCCAAAACUUCACGUGGCCUCUGAUAAUGCCUGUCGGUACUUUCGGCGUUUUCAAGUAUUAUUUUCGUCAAAGCUGAUCUUGCUUUACGGAUUUCACGGAGCUACUUUUUCAAAAGUACCCCGAGAAUCUCGCAAUUUUUCUAUGGUUAAUUUGAAAUUCACAGGUUCUACCUAUUCAUUGUAUUUGUGUAUAAAUGUGUUACUAACGAAAUUUUCUUUGCAGAAGACAUCCAGUUUACUCCAUACCUAGUGAUGCGAUAUCUACUUAUUUUUCUUAUCAGUGAGCACUCAAUAUGCCCGAGAAGCAAGACUAUCUCUGAUCAUUCAUUCAGGAAGCAAGACUAUCCCUGAUCACAUUUCCGCUACAUCAGGAAACUGUGAAGGCGAUCUUAUACUCUAAUCUCCGGAAGUCCUUCUAGACUAGGAGAUAUGAGAGCUUAUUGUCUGCUCCCACCAGCUUCCUUCCUUGAUUGCUUACCUUCUCUUGCAAUCAAUAUCACAUUAUUUUUGCAUUUUUUCUCUUUUUAUAACUCUCUGUUCAUAAGAGAUUUUAUUUCUUUAGAAUGAACAUCUGAAGAAUGAAUCCAUGAAGUAAUCCUAACUAUGAGGGUUAUUUGUUUUGACAGAGGCAAAAGAGUUGUGAUUUUUGCUCUUGCAAGAUAUAACUAGAUCAUCAAGCGCUACAUUAUAUUUACUGGGCCGAUAUGAGCUUGAAUGAUACUUGAGAAAAGUUUCUCCCACCUAAGGAUGUAAGCAAUACUUGUGUUAUUUUAUGCUUAUAUACCUAUUUGAUAUUUUAUCUUGAAAGGUAACCAAAUGGGGAGAUAAGUCCGUUCCAAAAGAAUGGCUUGUAUGUAUCCAUGAAUUAUUAACGCAAAUUUUACAGAUUGCAAGUUGGAUACAUUGAUAAUACACUACACAGAUUAAAGUCCCAUAAGAACAGAAUAUGGGUAUAGCAGUGAUCAAUAUGAUGCACGCCUGUUGCGUAGCAAAUGAUGUGGAUUGAAGUCCCGAAAGGACAAUCCUUUGACAUGUCAAUAUUGAUAUUGUGCACGCCUAAUGCGUAGCAAAUUGUAUGGGUUAAAGUCCCAUAAAUUAAUUGACAUGUAUGUAUUAAUCUGUGGCAUGCCUGCAGCAUGACAGAUAUAUGGGUUCUAAAUGUUCCAACUCCCUAAAUGGAGAUUAUCCACGCCCUACUAUAAAAUAACGCUCCAUUGGAGGUUAUAAUCCACAUUCUCACAUAAUAAAAGCCCCCUGCAGUGGCUUGGGUACCCAAAAGCAAAGAAAUGCUUAUAAUUGAUGUAUGCGCAUGCAAAUGAGAAUGGUGGGAUCAUAAAUUGAUGAAUGACAAAUUUUGAUUUUGGAGUAGCUACUCAAAUCAUCAAUGGGCUGUGUUGAUUGGAACCACGUUCAAUUAUUAAAUGUCGACAAUAUCAUUGGCCAAAAUGGAAUGAGGCAAUUCCAUUAUAGAUGAGAAUGAACGUGAAAGAACAAACCCACAGUACGAACCCCAAAAGAUGUUAAUAUUAAAAGUUAUACUUGGGUGUUCGGAAUAAAAGGGAAUAUACCUACUUUGUAUGACACAAUGUUUCUGGCAGAAGCAGGGAAUGUUGGGUUUUCUCCAUAUUUACAAAUUCAAUUGUGCCCCCUUAUUGCACAUUUACGGAGACCAACAUGUUAUCUUUAAAGGUUAUUAAAUGCACGGAGCAUAUUGUCAGAAGGGAUUUCCUAAAGAUGUAUAAAUAGCUAGGUUAAAGCUAUAUAAUGUGUCAUAAAGUUUAAUCCCUUUAAUCAAAAUCCUUGAAAGGAUUGAAAUUGCACAAAGCAAGUCCCUGAAUGACAUGUGCCUGAAGCACAAAAUCUGUACUCAAUGUUAAUGUACAUAAAUUGCCUAAGUGAGUAUAUUGAUUAUAAUGUGUUUGCAACACAUUAAAGCUUCUCAAGAGUUCCAGAAAUAUUUGUCUCGACUGAAAGAUCGAGCAUUAUGCCAACGAGGUUAUUGCUUAUACUAAGAAAGUAUUGAAGCAUUUUUAUGAGGAUUAUCCGUUGGACACUUUAAGGAUUUUCCGGAAGUAUAUUGGACCGGACAUCGUAUUUGAGCUCAACUCCAUCAACAUCAUUUUGGGAUGAUGUGAGGUAUAUUUGAUGCUAUCUCCACAUAACACCAUGUAUGGGCAUAUUCUUUCAUAUGAUCUUACAAAUAGCCCAGGUUUUGUUGGAAACGCGGACUCUGAAAAUUUCUAUGAUUUACAUAGAGAUAGCUCACUGGAAAUAUAUUUACUAUAUGAAUUGUUGGUGGCUACAUCAUUCACUCACUCCGAAAGAUUCUCACUCCAAAAGAUAGUUAUGAAGACAUCAGGGGGAGAUAUUAAUCAAGGGGAGCAUCCAGAAGUAUGCUAUACAGAUUGUUGUACUCUUCUUUCUUCAUUCCAUCAGUUUUCUACCUCACUAGGUUUUCUCCAAGCAAAGUCUGAUGAAGCAACUGACAUAUUAUUUGUGGUCUCCAAGGGGGAGUGUUGUAAAGUUUUUGUGUGGAGCCCACUAACUAUUCAUUUGGAGACUUUGGGUAGAGUUUGUCGGCAACUUUUUCUUACUGCACACUCACGAGAGUUGCACCAAUCUGCCUAUAAAUAGGCAACCUGCAAAGUGAAAGAAAAGAGAAGACAGAAGAGAAAGGGAGAAACGGAAAGAAACAAAGAAGAGGAAAGAGAGAAGAGAGAAGAGGAAAGAGAAGAGGAAAGAGAGAAGAGGAAAAAGAAAAGAGGAAAGAUAAAAGAAAGAGAGUCAGGCAGAGAAGAGGAAGAGAAGGAAGAAAGAGGGUGAGUGAGCAUAGAGAAAAUUCAGUGAGCCACACAUAUUGUAAACACUAUUGUAGCCAUAUUAUUUUAUAUAGUGAAAAGUUACUGCUGCUGCUCUCCGAGGACGUAGGCAUAGCCGAACCUCGUUAAAUGCUGUGUCUCAUCUACUUUACGUGCAGCUAAAUAUUCGUACAUAUUCCAGGUCAUUUUAUAACAUAAUUUAAUUUAUUGGAAUUUUUAGCGCUUUUUAGGUGGACUUCGCGCCGGGUUUUUAAAUGGGCAUCGGAUCGGACCUUUUGGCCCAACUAAAAUUUUGGGCCUUGGUAUUUGGACAUCUGAUCGGGCUUAAGCUCCAAAAUGUUAAAUAAAAGCCCUAACACUUGUGCUAUAUAUUUCUCUCUCUACGAGUCGAAAUCGGACUUUUAGCAUUUCCAAGGGAUAUGUAAGUACUUCGGGAAAAAAAAAACAAAAAAAAGGGAUAUGUAAGUACCAAACAUUAAUUUUAAAUUUAAAAAUUUAUGUGACAAUUUGACAUUUUACAAAGU
Molecule: long non-coding RNA, 6592 nt
Filed under: Prunus persica (peach)
Lineage: Eukaryota; Viridiplantae; Streptophyta; Magnoliopsida; Rosales; Rosaceae
Description: long non-coding RNA (PPER_LNC005526)
Source: RNAcentral